AAUAGGAUGCCUGACAAAAGGAUUAUCUUGAUGUGAUAAAAAAUGUAGUAAUACCCCUAUUA
Molecule: transfer RNA, 62 nt
Filed under: Cerynia lineola
Lineage: Eukaryota; Metazoa; Arthropoda; Insecta; Hemiptera; Flatidae
Description: tRNA-Ile
Source: RNAcentral